UUGCAGAAAAGGAACAACAACUAAUAUCUCUUGGCUGCAGGACACUGAAGUCACUUAAGUGCACAAUUGACAUGGAGAAGCAAAUGCUUAUCCUGGGAAGAAGCACAAGGGCACAAGUUCGCUUUGCAAAUGUCAAAGAUGCUAGCAGUGGCGAGAGAGAAAUGUAAUUCCUCUCUAGCACAUAACUGGAGGUCAUGACCAAGAAACCCAUCUUCUGGAACAAGGGGACUGUUGAAAUAUGCCACUUCUCCAUCAGACCCUGCACCAGAAUGCUCCCAGAGAGGAUAGAAUAGAAUGGUUUCUAAAAUAGAAUCCACAUGCAGAUAGAAUUAGAAUGGGCUCUAGAAUGGGCUGAUGCAUCAAAGGUUCCUCCCACUCAUGCAGUUCCUGUUCCUGUCUCCUUAGAACCCCUCGACCUGUUGGCCUCUCAUGUCCAAAUGUUUAGCCCUCCGCUCUUGUUAUGAAUUAUUCAUUAAGGUCAAGUAACA
Molecule: long non-coding RNA, 488 nt
Organism: Engraulis encrasicolus (European anchovy)
Lineage: Eukaryota; Metazoa; Chordata; Actinopteri; Clupeiformes; Engraulidae
Exons: 3
Source: RefSeq, a predicted model, not a curated record